GAUCCAAUUCGAAUCCAAUUCGAAGCUGGUUCAAAAUAAUUUUGAAAGGUUGUCAAUUCCAACCUCUUUAAGAUUUUUGGACCAAAUCUAACUUAAAAUUUUAGAUCCAAUUAAGUCUAAUUAAUUUAGAUCUAAUCUAAAAUUAAUUAAUAUUUAAAUUCAAUCUCUCAUAUGCUCCAUAGAUCAUAGAUCAGAAACUGUUCAUCUCC
This 209-nucleotide long non-coding RNA is filed under the name Elaeis guineensis (African oil palm). RNAcentral describes it as "long non-coding RNA (EGUI_LNC038162)". Lineage: Eukaryota; Viridiplantae; Streptophyta; Magnoliopsida; Arecales; Arecaceae. The record is from RNAcentral.